AAUCGCAUGGGCGAUCAACAACCAAGAUUUGGCCAAGUAGCUGCCCAACCACCAUUGCAGCAUACAUGCAUUGCAUGUGGCAGCCAUGCAUGCCCUAUUAGGCAGACGUGAUGGAAGGGAUGGCUCGUCCUUCCAUCAGUCGAGUUGUGACCUCGCGUAGAGCCACGCACACUGCUGCCUGACUUGAUAGUGCACAAGCUCGCCAUUGUGCAGGCGCCCACCAGUAGCCUUAUGCGAUAGCAUGUGCAACGCCUAGGCAUGCGCGUAGGCUAUCACGCACACCCUAUCAUGUCAAGUGAUAGCCAACGUGAGCAUGUAGGCGUGCACGAGCUCGUUGACCGUUUCGGUUGAUCGGAUUUU
This 360-nucleotide long non-coding RNA is filed under the name Carica papaya (papaya). RNAcentral describes it as "long non-coding RNA (CPAP_LNC013060)". Lineage: Eukaryota; Viridiplantae; Streptophyta; Magnoliopsida; Brassicales; Caricaceae. The record is from RNAcentral.